ACAGCCCAGGCCGAUCGGUCACAUCCGCUAAAGGAGCGCAGCUGUGACCGAUCAGCAAUCAGUGGCAGUUAAAGCCAGGCUCGCCCCACCAGCCGCCGCUGGUUCAUUGCUCCUGCUGGCUCUCCACCAGCCACUCUGCCCAGGUCUGCCGCAGCUCCGGACUUCCCCCGCCUGCUUUGUCCUGCCCGACUACUAUCCAGAGCCCUGGAGCUCUGCUCGGAGAGCCCGGCCCGUUCCCGGAGCUUCCCCCCUCUGUCCCUGCCUCGGCUCCCUCCGCCGAUCUCCGCUGCAUGUAGCAGCCCCGGCGUGCGCCCCACAGACUGCCGGCUGCAGAACCAGUCUGCCCCCCCCCCAACCCCGUUGGACUUGUUUGACUUCCUCCCUGCCAUUGGUCCAGGAAUCAGAUGCUUGAGAGAGGAGAUAACGGUCAUUUCAGUGAGGCUGGCAUUCAGGCGGUUUAUCUCUUCUGUCAUGGAGGAAAGUUCAUCAUUGCUGGUCUGCAGAUGCUCAGUCAGGUUUUCUUUGAUGGAGGAUAAAUCUGCAGCCGAGUCACGGUCUGAAAUAUCAAGAUCUGGACAUCUUGCAAGACAGUCUGAUGUCUUCAGUCUUUGAAUGCCUCGCUUCUCACAGUUUAGGCUUUGACUCCUCCAUCUGGGAGAAAAACACUAAAAAGAGGUUUCAGAGAGCAGUUUCUGACCCUGGAAGAAGAGUCCGCUGGGCUGCUUGGCGGCGGCUGGAGACACGGCGAGCCACAGCACCGUGUCGGC
This is a long non-coding RNA of Amphiprion ocellaris (clown anemonefish), 767 nucleotides long. RefSeq lists it as uncharacterized. NCBI's taxonomy places the organism in Eukaryota, Metazoa, Chordata, Actinopteri, Pomacentridae. The transcript is spliced from 5 exons. The record is from RefSeq and is a predicted model, not a curated record.